UACGUAGGGGGCAAGCGUUAUCCGGAUUUACUGGGUGUAAAGGGAGCGUAGACGGCCUUGCAAGUCUGGUGUGAAAGCCCGGGGCUCAACCCCGGGACUGCAUUGGAAACUGCAUGGCUGGAGUGCAGGAGAGGUAAGCGGAAUUCCUAGUGUAGCGGUGAAAUGCGUAGAUAUUAGGAGGAACACCAGUGGCGAAGGCGGCUUACUGGACUGUAACUGACGUUGAGGCUCGAAAGCGUGGGGAGCAAACAGG
Molecule: ribosomal RNA, 253 nt
Filed under: uncultured bacterium
Lineage: Bacteria
Description: partial 16S ribosomal RNA
Rfam family: Bacterial small subunit ribosomal RNA
Source: RNAcentral